This 73-nucleotide transfer RNA is filed under the name Ailuropoda melanoleuca (giant panda). It matches the Rfam family "tRNA". Rfam says of the family: Transfer RNA (tRNA) molecules are approximately 80 nucleotides in length. Their secondary structure includes four short double-helical elements and three loops (D, anti-codon, and T loops). Further hydrogen bonds mediate the characteristic L-shaped molecular structure. tRNAs have two regions of fundamental functional importance: the anti-codon, which is responsible for specific mRNA codon recognition, and the 3' end, to which the tRNAs corresponding amino acid is attached (by aminoacyl-tRNA synthetases). tRNAs cope with the degeneracy of the genetic code in two manners: having more than one tRNA (with a specific anti-codon) for a particular amino acid; and 'wobble' base-pairing, i.e. permitting non-standard base-pairing at the 3rd anti-codon position. The record is from Rfam by way of RNAcentral. Lineage: Eukaryota; Metazoa; Chordata; Mammalia; Carnivora; Ursidae.
GCCUGGCUGGCUCGGUAGGUAGAGUAUGUGACUCUUGAUCUCAGGAUUGUAAGUUCAAGUCCCACACUGGGUG